RNAcentral lists this transfer RNA (74 nucleotides) under Acidimicrobiia bacterium. RNAcentral describes it as "tRNA-His". It matches the Rfam family "tRNA". Rfam says of the family: Transfer RNA (tRNA) molecules are approximately 80 nucleotides in length. RNAcentral also lists the same sequence under 1 other name. Lineage: Bacteria; Bacillati; Actinomycetota; Acidimicrobiia. The record is from RNAcentral.
GCUGCCGUAGCUCAGUCGGCUAGAGCGCCAGAUUGUGGAUCUGGAGGUCAUGGGUUCAAGCCCCAUCGGCAGUA